Molecule: ribosomal RNA, 253 nt
Filed under: uncultured bacterium
Lineage: Bacteria
Description: partial 16S ribosomal RNA
Rfam family: Bacterial small subunit ribosomal RNA
Source: RNAcentral
UACAGAGGGUGCGAGCGUUAAUCGGAAUUACUGGGCGUAAAGCGCGCGUAGGCGGUUUUGUAAGUCGGGUGUGAAAUCCCCAGGCUCAACCUGGGAACUGCGUUCGAGACUGCAUAGCUAGAGUAUGGGAGAGGGAAGUGGAAUUUCAGGUGUAGCGGUGAAAUGCGCAGAUAUCAGGAGGAACACCGGUGGCGAAGGCGGGUCUCUGGGCCGAUACUGACGCUGAGGAGCGAAAGCGUGGGGAGCGAACAGG